ACAACAUUGGGACCGUUGGUCUACCGAGCAAUAUCACCCGCUCGGUGGAAGAUCUUCCCUUUGUUGU
Molecule: microRNA precursor, 67 nt
Filed under: Bombyx mori (domestic silkworm)
Lineage: Eukaryota; Metazoa; Arthropoda; Insecta; Lepidoptera; Bombycidae
Description: mir-2774 microRNA precursor family
Rfam family: mir-2774 microRNA precursor family
Source: Rfam by way of RNAcentral